UCCGUAGGUGAACCUGCGGAGGGAUCAUUACACAAAGAUAUGAAGGUAGGGUACUGGCAACAGUGCUCUGCUGAAAUAUUUUCACCCAUGUCUUUUGCGCACUUUUUGUUUCCUGGGCGAGUUUGCUCGCCACCAGGACCCCCAUAUGAACCUUUUUUGUUUUUGCACUCAGCGUCAGUACAAUAAUUUAAUCUAUUAAAACUUUCAACAACGGAUCUCUUGGUUCUGGCAUCGAUGAAGAACGCAGCGAAAUGCGAUACGUAGUGUGAAUUGCAGAAUUCAGUGAAUCAUCGAAUCUUUGAACGCACAUUGCGCCCUUUGGUAUUCCAAAGGGCAUGCCUGUUCGAGCGUCAUUUGUACCCUCAAGCUUUGCUUGGUGUUGGGCGUCUUAUUGUCUCUCCGUCUCGGGGAGACUCGCCUUAAAACAAUUGGCAGCCGGCCUACUGGUUUCGGAGCGCAGCACAAAUUUGCGCUUGCAAUCAGCCAAGGGCGGCAUCCAUGAAGCCUUUUUUCUCUCACAUUUUGACCUCGGAUCAGGUAGGGAUACCCGCUGAACUUAAG
RNAcentral lists this ribosomal RNA (561 nucleotides) under Exserohilum turcicum. Its description in RNAcentral is "eukaryotic LSU rRNA". The stretch from base 200 to 353 matches the Rfam family "5.8S ribosomal RNA". The record is from RNAcentral. Lineage: Eukaryota; Fungi; Ascomycota; Dothideomycetes; Pleosporales; Pleosporaceae.